CAGCCGCCGCGGGAAUACAGAGGGUGCGAGCGUUAAUCGGAAUUACUGGGCGUAAAGCGUGCGCAGGCGGUUAUAUAAGACAGAUGUGAAAUCCCCGGGCUCAACCUGGGAACUGCAUUUGUGACUGUAUAGCUAGAGUACGGCAGAGGGGGAUGGAAUUCCGCGUGUAGCAGUGAAAUGCGUAGAUAUGCGGAGGAACACCGAUGGCGAAGGCAAUCCCCUGGGCCUGUACUGACGCUCAUGCACGAAAGCGUGGGGAGCAAACAGGAUUAGAGACCCCAGUAGUCCCUGUCUCUUAUAC
RNAcentral lists this ribosomal RNA (301 nucleotides) under uncultured bacterium. RNAcentral's name for it is "partial 16S ribosomal RNA". It matches the Rfam family "Bacterial small subunit ribosomal RNA", at positions 509 to 807 of the family's 1533-position model. The record is from RNAcentral.